CCCGGUGAGACCUAGUCUUUAACGGCCGCAGUUAGUAGCUGUGCUAAGGUAGCGUAGUCAGUUGCCCCUUAAUUAGGGGAAGGAAUGAAUGGUUUGACGUAAUGGAAUCUGUCUUUGAGAUAAUGUAGGAAUUUUUCUUUUUAGUGAAGAGACUAAAUCUAAUUUACCAGACGAGAAGACCCUGUCGAGCUUAAUAAAAGCAGUAAAUUUUUUCUGGUGGAAAUUUGAUUGGGGCAAUCUAGGAGUAAAAUAAGCCUCCUUUUGUUUAACAAAGAGCCAUAAUUUUUGAAAUCGGAAGAAGCUACCGUAGGGAUAACAGCGUUAUCCUUUCUGAGAGAACAUAUUGAAGAAAGG
This 354-nucleotide ribosomal RNA is filed under the name Galeommatoidea sp. MN16635. Its description in RNAcentral is "partial 16S ribosomal RNA". It matches the Rfam family "Bacterial large subunit ribosomal RNA", at positions 1862 to 2515 of the family's 2925-position model. The record is from RNAcentral. Lineage: Eukaryota; Metazoa; Mollusca; Bivalvia; Galeommatida.